UCCAGACUCCUACGGGAGGCAGCAGUGAGGAAUAUUGGUCAAUGGCCGGAAGGCUGAACCAGCCAAGCCGCGUGAAGGACGAAGGUGCCAAGCAUUGUAAACUUCUUUUGUCAAGGGACAAAAUCAGGCUCGAGAGCCUGACCGAGGGUACUUGAAGAAAAAGCAUCGGCUAACUCCGUGCCAGCAGCCGCGGUAAUACGGAGGAUGCGAGCGUUAUCCGGAUUUAUUGGGUUUAAAGGGUGCGUAGGCGGGCUGUUAAGUCAGCGGUAAAGGCCGGGGGCCAACCCCCGGCGAGCCGUUGAAACUGGCGUUCUUGAGUGAGCGAGAAGUAUGCGGAAUGCGUGGUGUAGCGGUGAAAUGCAUAGAUAUCACGCAGAACUCCGAUUGCGAAGGCAGCAUACCGGCGCUCAACUGACGCUCAUGCACGAAAGCGUGGGUAUCGAACAGGAUUAGAUACCCGAGUA
This 464-nucleotide ribosomal RNA is filed under the name uncultured bacterium. RNAcentral's name for it is "bacterial SSU rRNA". It matches the Rfam family "Bacterial small subunit ribosomal RNA", at positions 330 to 792 of the family's 1533-position model. The record is from RNAcentral.